Long non-coding RNA from Leopardus geoffroyi (Geoffroy's cat), 2230 nucleotides. RefSeq lists it as uncharacterized. The record is from RefSeq and is a predicted model, not a curated record. Lineage: Eukaryota; Metazoa; Chordata; Mammalia; Carnivora; Felidae. The transcript has 3 exons.
GCGUAUUGGCCUGGCCCGGCUGGGAGCGAUGAUGACGAUUGUCAUUGCCGGCAUCACACCGGACACCGGCCAGUAUUAUUGACUGAAAUCACGGGCCACGUGGUUUUGGUGGGAGGGGCAUGGGUGACCACACUUCGUACUCACAUCUCCGAUCGGGGGGAUCUUCUUGAAGCUCCAGGUCUGAGUGGCAUUGUCGGGCAUGGCUCGGGAGCCGGGAAGGUCAAGGGGGAAGAUCUGGAGGCAGAAGUCCACAGUCAAGGUGUCAGGAGGGCCAAACUUCCUCCCAAGGCUCCAGGGAGGAAUCCAGUCCUUUCUCCAGCUGCUGGUGGCCGUGGAACUCUGCUCUCUGCCUACAUCUCCACAGCCUUUUCUGAGUCUUUCCCUCUUCUGAUAUGGAGGGAGCGCCCAGCACGUUCCAGGGCCAGUCACGGGGAGCUGAAACCAUCCCAGCAGAUUCAGUGCCCGCCCUCACGGAGCUGACCUUGCAGUGGGGGAGGCAGACCCAGCAAAACCAGAAACACAACUGCACGUUGCAGGGAGAGCUGCCAAGGGAACAAGGGAGAGGCAAGGCCAGUAAGGGUGGGGUGGGGUGGGCCAGCUCUAACCAGGGAGGGCAGGGAAGGCUUCUCAGAAGAUGGGGCCCGUAAGCUGGGCGCUGGAUGCUGAUAAGGACCUGGUUGGAACCUCCCCCUCUCUCCUUAACUGUGCGAUCUCGGCCGAGUUGCCUAAUCUCUCUGUGCCUCAGUUUCCUCUUAUGUAAAAUGUUGAUGGUGACAACACGUCCUUGGUGAGCCGUCCUGAGGACCGGGUGAGCGAGCCCAGGAAGAGCCCUCAGAAAGAACUUCAGGGUUCCUAGAACCUGCCCAGUGAGCGAUAGCUAAUCCUCAUAAUACAGUACUUAAAUGUUACCAUUAUUAGCACAUGAGCAGAGGGAUGCACCCACAUUUUGUCAAUCAUUUGAGGGAUAUUUAUUUUUAAGAAUGAAAAAGACAUCAAAGUAGGGAUCGUGUAACACUCUGAAACGCCUUGGGCUUCUUUACUCUUAUAACAGCUUCACUUUGGGUUUUGUCUGAAUGAGACUAGGAGGCAUGAGAUGUCAUAUUCUAUUCAGGGCUUGGGGAUAUAAAACCUUUGGAGAGGCUGGCCGAAGUGCCUGUGACUCCAGUCACUACUUUGGGCAGAGCAGGCUGAGUCCUUGUGAUUCAGCCCACGAUCCAGGGACGGACUCGGCCAGCAAGGCUCCGGGCUCCUACACCUUGUCGCCUCAGCAGAUUGUGGACCGAGGUCAGGCUAACCUUGUCCUGAGGCGAGACCCAGAGAAGGGACAGAGAAGCCCGGGGGAGCUGCUCUGGCCGGGGGCGCACGCGGGGAGAGCCCUGGGCCCAGGCUCCAGGCCUGCGGAUCCCCAGCUGGGCCUCCAGAAUCUGUCCCUCUAGGGGGCAGUAGGGCUCCACUGAGUGUCCCCAUCUCCGUCUCCCAGAGGCCAGGAAAUGCUCCUGCCUUAGGACCCGCCUCUGGCCUCUGUGUUCGGCACGAAGGGGAAUUUCUGCACAGACUUCGCCUUGGCUGGGCCCAGAGGUUGUAUCUUUUCACGCUCGGGUGUUGUGAGGCCAGGGGAGGGGGUGGGAUGCUCCUUAGGAAGUUCGUGUCACUGUAACACGAAUCUUUCUAAAAAUCAGAAGUCCAACAGCUGCAUGCACGUGGGGGACAUGUUGGGGUUCCAGGCCAGCAUAGGAAGGCCACCUCCUGUGGCCGGGGAAGGUAGGCAGGUUUCUAAGGCUAAACAUGUGCACGUGGACGGGCACCUGGGAGGCUCAGUCGGGUGAGUGUCCUACUCCCACUCAGGUCAUGAUCUCACGGUGUGUGAGUUCGAGCCCCUUUUUGGGCUGUGCCCUGACCACGUGGAGCCCGUUUGGGAUUCCCUCUCUCUCCCUCUCUCUCCGUCUCUCUCUGCCCCUCCCAUCCACUCUGUCUCUCAAAAUAAAUAAAUAAACUUAAAAAAAAUAUAUUCACAGGGCACCUGGGUGGCUCAGUGGAUUAAGUGUUCGACUUCGGCUCAGGCCAUGAUCUCAUGGUUUGUGAGUUCGAGCCCCGUGUCGGGCUCUGUGCUGACAGCUCAGAGCCUGGAGCUGCUUCGGAUUCCGUGUCUCCCUCUCUCUCUGCCCCUUCCCUGCUUACUCUCUGUCUGUCUCUCUCUCUCUCUCAAAAACAAAUAAAAACAUUAAAAAAA